UGUCUCCUCCACCUCCUCCAUUGGUGGAUUACGCCCGAAGCUCUCUAGAGCUUCGGGCUUUUUUU
RNAcentral lists this non-coding RNA (65 nucleotides) under Vitreoscilla filiformis. RNAcentral's name for it is "Betaproteobacteria toxic small RNA". It matches the Rfam family "Betaproteobacteria toxic small RNA". From Rfam's summary of the family: Overexpression in amino aid rich medium attenuates growth, suggesting role in repressing amino acid intake and metabolism. Lineage: Bacteria; Pseudomonadati; Pseudomonadota; Betaproteobacteria; Neisseriales; Neisseriaceae. The record is from Rfam by way of RNAcentral.